Mesoplodon densirostris (Blainville's beaked whale) is the source of this 108-nucleotide small nuclear RNA. NCBI's taxonomy places the organism in Eukaryota, Metazoa, Chordata, Mammalia, Artiodactyla, Ziphiidae. The record is from RefSeq and is a predicted model, not a curated record.
GUGCUUGCUUUGGCAGCACAUAUACUAAAAAUUGGAAUGAUACAGAGAAGAUCAGCAUGGCCUCUGCACAAGGAUGAUACUCAAAUUUGUGAAGCAUUCCAUAUUUUU